UACGGAGGGCGCAAGCGUUGUUCGGACUCAUUGGGCGUAAAGCGCGUGCAGGCGGCUUGGUAAGUCGGGUGUGAAAGCCCGGGGCUCAACCCCGGAACUGCACCCGAUACUGCCUCGCUAGAGUCCCGGAGAGGAUGGCGGAAUUUCCGGUGUAGAGGUGAAAUUCGUAGAUAUCGGAAGGAACACCAGCGGCGAAGGCGGCCAUCUGGACGGUGACUGACGCUCAGACGCGAAAGCGUGGGGAGCAAACAGG
This 253-nucleotide ribosomal RNA is filed under the name uncultured bacterium. RNAcentral's name for it is "partial 16S ribosomal RNA". It matches the Rfam family "Bacterial small subunit ribosomal RNA", at positions 524 to 776 of the family's 1533-position model. The record is from RNAcentral.